RNAcentral lists this ribosomal RNA (301 nucleotides) under uncultured bacterium. RNAcentral describes it as "partial 16S ribosomal RNA". It matches the Rfam family "Bacterial small subunit ribosomal RNA", at positions 509 to 807 of the family's 1533-position model. The record is from RNAcentral.
CAGCCGCCGCGGUAAAACAGAGGGUGCAAGCGUUAAUCGGAUUUACUGGGCGUAAAGCGUGCGUAGGUGGCUGUUUAAGUCGGAUGUGAAAGCCCUGGGCUUAACCUGGGAACUGCAUUCGAUACUGGAUAGCUAGAGAUCGGUAGAGGGCAGCGGAAUUCCGGGUGUAGCGGUGAAAUGCGUAGAUAUCCGGAGGAACACCGAUGGCGAAGGCAACUGCCUGGGCCUGAUCUGACACUGAGGCACGAAAGCGUGGGUAGCAAACAGGAUUAGAUACCCGCGUAGUCCCUGUCUCUUAUAC